GUCUACCCCAGCCAUACAACUGUCAUCCACAUUCAGAGGGCCUAGUUUGAUUCUCUGCUGGUUCCCUCACUGUCCGGUCAGAGUUGGUGAGCUCCCAUUAGCUCAGAUAAGUUUAAACUAGUUUUUCUUUCCUUAGUAAAAUAGUGUGUGUGUGUGUGUGUGUGUGUGUGUGUGUGUGUGUGUGUGUGAAUGUGCAUUCUGUCUGAGUGUCCAGGGAGGUCAGAACAGAAGAGGGCAUCACAGUGCCCAGCACUUGAGUUACAGGUAGAUGUGAGCCUCCUGACCAUGGAAUUUGGGAACUAAACUCCAGUUCUCUGCAAGUGGUCUUAACAUCUGAGCUGUUUGUUUCUCAAGCUCUUUGAUAACUUUUUCUACAGGAAGGGAAUUUUCUUCAUUAGAGAAGGCAACUUGGCAGUGGAUACUCAAUCUAGUUAUGUUGAAUUUAAGACUACUUCUUGAACAUUUUGUGCAGUUUGAUUUCUUCCUCGUCUUAGUUUCUCAAGAUAUGCUCCAAAGAUCCCCCAGAAUCUUCAUUACGUGCACGGCUGUUAGAGGAGACAAACCUCGGGUUCUGUUGCAGACCACUGGGAGAAGAAUUUGUUGUAGCACACUUUCCUCAGGAUUUCUGGACAGUGACAUUUGGGAAGUGUGCUGUGUCUGGAUGUGUUCCAUCGAGUUAAUGGUAACAGCUUUUGUGUCUGCUGGCUCCACGGCAAGACACAGAACUAAGGAGACAUUAUGAAGCCCAUCCAUUUCCUAGUCCAGAAAAUGCAAAGUAACUAUUAAAUUGAGCCAGGGAAAAAUCUUUUACUUCUGCUUUUAAAUAUUAUCGUAUUUCUAUUAUUAUAUUUCUAUUAUCAUAUUUCUAUUAUUAUACUAUUAUAGCUGUGUCAACAACCCCGAGUUUCAUUAAGUUUUGCCUUCUAGAAACAUCAUAUUUCAACUGUAUGUACAUGGCUCUUCCCGGUUACAUGUAAGAUGUUUGCUGAAGAGAUGAAAUUGUGUAGGUAAGAUAGACAGGCUCUUCUGACCGAGAGCAUGGCUGAAGACAUUGUUCACCAGCUGUAGUUUGUACCUAUGUAUUUCAAUGUCCAUUUUUUUUAAAAUGUAGAUUCCCUAUGCCCAACAAUAAAGUCAAGGAGCGUCUCGUUUGCCCCCGAGGGCUUCAGCCAAAUAGCUGGCGGUGCAGUGAGAACUGAAACAUCUACUCAGAGUCUCCCUGUGAAACAUCUGUGGCUAUAUCCCGGAACUCGCUUUGUAGACCAGGCUGGUCUCAAAUUCACUGAGAUCCACCUGGCUCGCUUUCCUGAGUGCUUGGAUUAAAGGCGUGCAGCACCGCUGCCCAGCAAACUGAGAAGUUUUUAAACAAAGGAAGAAGCAGAAUUGAGAAAGAGAAAAUUACCUGAAUCAGGGACACUCAGCAAAGGACAAUGCGAUCAUGAGAAAGAAAGGUGCUGUAGCCGAGGAAUUAUUAAUUUUUUUUUGCAGAACUUUGUAAAUGACAGCUAUUCAUACCUGGCAGCUGUUCAUUUUAAUUGUUUACAGAAAGAUGCUGAGAAACAGAAAUUGUCAAGGGCAAGCAGAGGAAGGUGGAUAGAAACAGCUUCAUCGAGUAUUUGCAUCAUUCCAUCAAGGUCCCGUCACUGUUAGGAAGUUGUUCUAACUUGGUUUAUCAGAUGGAGAACUCAAGGCUUUGAGGUACUUGCAGACGCAUCACUGGAUGGACAAGGAGUGGAGCUGAAGCAGGAGCAUGUCUGGGUUUGACUUAUUUAUCCACGCUGCCUUGCCCUGUCUGAAAAGUGAAAUACAAAGCAAAGGCUUUUGUCCAGCAUCUCUAGGGCUCACAGCCUACCUCAGGGUUUCUGGCUGCCCCUGUCCCUAGAUUGUGAGUUGAACUCUCUUCCCUUGGAGUCUGCUCACUGUGCUGAGGUCUCACAUCCAUCAGCCACAGUUACCCAUACACAUCUCACCAGACUUGGCUUCUCUAUUUUUAGCUACAGACAGUUGCCUUAAAUUUUUAUGAGCUUAAUUUUUUUUUUACUUUGCUUCGUAGAAUGAGGGAAAUAUGGUGCACCCAAGGGUGCCCUGUAUAUGGCUGUUUAAACCCUCCCUGGCCAUUUCUGACAUUACAGAGAAACUCAGCAAUCAUCAUGGUUAUAGACAUGACAUUCAGUGUCCACCUAGCUAGCAGAGUGGUUGUCUAAAUCAAAAAGAGGAGCAAGGCAGCAGCAGGAAAGACAAAAGCCAAGUUCCCUCAUGGCAUUGCUUUCAAGAUUUCCAUUCCCCAGGCCCAGCAACUGGAACUUGGAACUGAAAAAGGACAUUGGCUCGGGUUUAUUCACAAGAGCAUCCUGGCAAAAGGGAGCCCCUCAUCCUGAGCACUUCUUGCUUUCCCUGGGUCAGCUCUUAGUUGGCCCUUUCUCUUGUCUGGUUAAAGAUGGGGAGUCAGUGCGGACUCUGUUACCGCUGUUGGAUGAAGAGCCAAAUCUUAUUCAUUGCUCAUUUCCCCAGGUUUGAGCCCCAGUUAUGCUGGCUCCAAACUCUGGGGUCUUCUAAAAUAAAGAUUGGACCAACUGA
Molecule: long non-coding RNA, 2577 nt
Organism: Alexandromys fortis (reed vole)
Lineage: Eukaryota; Metazoa; Chordata; Mammalia; Rodentia; Cricetidae
Exons: 2
Source: RefSeq, a predicted model, not a curated record